Telopea speciosissima is the source of this 198-nucleotide long non-coding RNA. RefSeq lists it as uncharacterized. Lineage: Eukaryota; Viridiplantae; Streptophyta; Magnoliopsida; Proteales; Proteaceae. The transcript is spliced from 3 exons. The record is from RefSeq and is a predicted model, not a curated record.
UUCCUCUAUGUUGAAGGAAAACAAUAUGACUGUACUACCUGGUUUUACUGAUUCUUAAGUUUAUUGAUCCAUUUUUGUGGUUCUUUAUUUGCUUCUUAAUCAGGGGAGUGUAGAGGCUCAGUGGCUUCAAUCAUUUGUAUGCUUCCAACUUCGAGUCCCACUGUUGAAAUAAGCCUAUAGUGAAACUUGUUCUAAUGG